Aquila chrysaetos chrysaetos is the source of this 2439-nucleotide long non-coding RNA. RefSeq lists it as uncharacterized. The record is from RefSeq and is a predicted model, not a curated record. The transcript is spliced from 3 exons. Lineage: Eukaryota; Metazoa; Chordata; Aves; Accipitriformes; Accipitridae.
UUCAGUACUUCUACUCUUUUGAAGGAAGGUUAAAGAAGGUUCAGUGCCUGCAGAUGAUCUGAAGCAUCUCAUGUUAAAGUUGAUCUCUUCAGCUGUACAGUGCGUCUUGGCUCCAUAUGUAUUAAGAACAGGGAACUGAGAAAGCAGGAACACCAUAUGAUUGGACAAGACAACGCUGCUUUUGAAAACACCAGUCCACAGCAUCCCCAGAGGGUAUGAAGGAGAUGGACCACAGCACUGGAAGCAGAGAGCCUAAUUACAAGUGAGCAAAAGAAAACGAAGUUAACCCCCAAAAGCCAAAGUUAUUCCUAAAGCAAUAAACUGUUAAAGGAAAUACUGCAGAUAUGACCAAUCGAAGGGAAAAAAACCUAACACAGAAAGUGAAAUAAACUGAUUAGGUAAAGAAAAAACCCACUAUGAUUUCCCUCAGGUUUGCAGUGUUUAAAACAAAUGAGGUAAGAUUGCCUACCCUUUCCUUUCACUGCAUUGCCUUCUUCAAUAAUCACUCAAGUGACAUCACCUAAACAUUAGUUUCUAGAUGGGAGCAUAAGUUAUUAUUACUGCAUAUCACUGCCUGCUUACUGAAUGCCCUGUAACACCAGAACCAUUAAUAACUCUCCUGACAGGCUACAGGCUUGGUUCCACAUCACUGCAGUCAGCAAAAGCAAGCAUGCGCUAAAAGACAAGGCCUUCAUGACUUAGAUUUGGCUGAUUUCAGUGAAAAUCACACUGGGCACAAACUUACUUUCUGCUAAAGAAGAGCCAUACUUGAAGAGUUUAGAGACAAAAGAGCUAUACCCAACUAAACCAAUUUCCUCUGAAAAUAAAGCAAGGGCAUCUGAGGAACAGAAAAACACUUAGCCACACCAUGCUUAUAGACACUUAGGAGAAGCAGCCACCUAAAAGCAGUUCCCUGUGUAACCAGGGCUGCAGAAGCUAAAUGCUCACUAUAGACUUCACCUGUCAAUCCCAAGCCGCACAUGCUGGCCCGCCCUGUAAUAUCUCUGCCUCUGUGCAUCCACUGGUGAUGUCUCCCUGGUUGUUUGACCUGGCACCAGCAGGGAAGCAGAGGCUCUGGGUCCUACUGCCAGAGAAGGCAGAGCCUCGCGCUGGGUGAUCUGACUAUUGCCUCAAGUCCAAGGAUGCAGGUCUUGCCUUCCUGAGUUUUGAACUGCACCUUCCAGUAGCUGCUCAGCCAGGACUGGACAGCCUGAGAGGUAAGCAGCCUUCCCUAGGAUGUAGCAAUGGGCAAUCGGCUUCUGCCAGCUGCUGCUGUGCACUGGCAAGGGGUCAGUGCUACAGGCUGCUGUCUUCUAACUAGUGUUUGCAGAAGGAGGCAGGCCUCGGGGUACGCCGUCAGUGCUGGUCACCUCCUGGGAAACUGCAAUUGACUUUGGAGGUAAACAGCAUCCCCAGCCCAGUGCUGCAAGCUUGGCACAGUAGCUUCUCAGCAGGGCUGACAGUAAUAACUUUUUACUAUAAUCUCUACGACUUUAUCAUGCUGUAUGUACUGCACGUGCCAGGACCAGAUUCUACAAAGAGAAGCCCUGUUGUGGUUAGGUUAAAAAUUUGAUGCUGAAUGUUCUCCAAAGUCAACCAAGCCAUAAAAGAAGAAAGAGACUGAGGUUUUUGUGAUUCAGUAAGAUGUACAUGUUAGCAGGAAAGAGACUACUGUACUUUAAUGGAUAUAUGGAGAAGCCAAUGAGACCCAGCAGGCCAAUAUAUUCUAGAUGAAAUAUUAUCACAAAUGAGGAUGUGUUUUUAUUCAAAGCACCAGCUGUUUACUUUAGAUUUCAGGCAGCUGGGUGGCCUCAUUCAAUGAUUCCCUUACUUUGUUUGGGUUUGCUUUUUCUUGUUAACCUUUCUGUGUAAUUAUUAAUAUAACCUGUUUAUGAAUUGGACUUUUUUUUGCUGCUUGCAUUGUAAUUGAGAUAUAAUCCAUAUUCUUAUUUAUAUUUGCAUUAGAAUUGAGUAUGUAUCAAUUGAUUGAGAUAAGUGGUUUUUAAGAGGUGCUUAGCUCAAGGUGCCAGGUUCCUUUACCAUAGAUUAAAAUUUACAGAAAUAAACACAGCAGCCAUUUUAUGAACUGGAAGGACAAAUGAAACCUUAUUGCAGCUUCUCGUUUCUGCCUCUAUGGCACAAGUCCACCUACAUCUCACCUCUCCCUUCUUCAAAGCCUAGGAAAAGAGAUGGGUUGCCUACUAACUAUGCAAAGGUCCCUUGGGAAGGGGAGUAGGCAUUUUUCAGGAAUGAAACCAGGCCAGCACAUUGGUUACUGAAAUACCAUAAUUAAAAAUUACUUGGAGGUUCUGAUGAAGCAGGAAGAAUUCAACUUCCAUCAUACCCCACACUAUAUGCACCCAUUCUCAUUUUCUAAGUCAUAUGGUUCCUUUCUUCUCUAGUCAAAGGGAAGAGAUUAGCUCCUUCAAGAAAGAUUCA